AAGGUCUUAGCUUAAUUAAAGUAUUUGAGUUGCAUUCAAAUGAUGUAAGAUAGAGUCUUGCAGAUCUUA
RNAcentral lists this transfer RNA (69 nucleotides) under Osteoglossum ferreirai (black arawana). Its description in RNAcentral is "tRNA-Ala". It matches the Rfam family "tRNA". Rfam says of the family: Transfer RNA (tRNA) molecules are approximately 80 nucleotides in length. Lineage: Eukaryota; Metazoa; Chordata; Actinopteri; Osteoglossiformes; Osteoglossidae. RNAcentral also lists the same sequence under 1 other name. The record is from RNAcentral.